Molecule: ribosomal RNA, 498 nt
Filed under: uncultured bacterium
Lineage: Bacteria
Also listed under: 1 other name
Description: partial 16S ribosomal RNA
Rfam family: Bacterial small subunit ribosomal RNA
Source: RNAcentral
GACGAACGCUGGCGGCGUGCCUAAUACAUGCAAGUAGAACGCUGAAGAGAGGAGCUUGCUCUUCUUGGAUGAGUUGCGAACGGGUGAGUAACGCGUAGGUAACCUGCCUUGUAGCGGGGGAUAACUAUUGGAAACGAUAGCUAAUACCGCAUAACAAUGGAUGACCCAUGUCAUUUAUUUGAAAGGGGCAAAUGCUCCACUACAAGAUGGACCUGCGUUGUAUUAGCUAGUAGGUGAGGUAACGGCUCACCUAGGCGACGAUACAUAGCCGACCUGAGAGGGUGAUCGGCCACACUGGGACUGAGACACGGCCCAGACUCCUACGGGAGGCAGCAGUAGGGAAUCUUCGGCAAUGGGGGCAACCCUGACCGAGCAACGCCGCGUGAGUGAAGAAGGUUUUCGGAUCGUAAAGCUCUGUUGUAAGUCAAGAACGAGUGUGAGAGUGGAAAGUUCACACUGUGACGGUAGCUUACCAGAAAGGGACGGCUAACUACGUGC